This 406-nucleotide ribosomal RNA is filed under the name uncultured bacterium. RNAcentral describes it as "partial 16S ribosomal RNA". It matches the Rfam family "Bacterial small subunit ribosomal RNA", at positions 29 to 526 of the family's 1533-position model. The record is from RNAcentral.
AUUGAACGCUGGCGGCAGGCCUAACACAUGCAAGUCGAGCGAGAGGCGGGCGGGUGAGUAAUGUAUGGGGAUAUUCCCGAAAGAGGGGGGUAACAACUGGAAAAGGGGGCGAAUACCGCAUACUAUCGGGUGAAACCAGAUGGGAUUAGCUCGUAGGGGGGGUAAAGGCUCACCAAGGCGACGAUCUCUAGCUGGUGUGAGAGGAUGAGCAGCCACACUGGGACUGAGACACGGCCCAGACUCCUACGGGAGGCAGCAGUGGGGAAUAUUGCACAAUGUGCGCAAGCCUGAUGCAGCCAUGCCGCGUGUAUGAAGAAGUCCUUAGGGUUGUAAAGUACUUUCAGCGGGGAGGCGUUACCCGCAGAAGAAGCACCGGCUAACUCCGUGCCAGCAGCCGCGGUAAUUC